RNAcentral lists this ribosomal RNA (465 nucleotides) under uncultured bacterium. RNAcentral's name for it is "partial 16S ribosomal RNA". It matches the Rfam family "Bacterial small subunit ribosomal RNA", at positions 28 to 507 of the family's 1533-position model. The record is from RNAcentral.
GACGAACGCUGGCGGCGUGCUUAACACAUGCAAGUCGAACGGAAAGGCCCUGCUUGCAGGGUACUCGAGUGGCGAACGGGUGAGUAACACGUGGGUGAUCUGCCCUGCACUUCGGGAUAAGCCUGGGAAGCUGGGUCUAAUACCGGAUAGGAGCCAUUUUUAGUGUGAUGGUUGGAAAGUUUUUUCGGUGUAGGAUGAGCUCGCGGCCUAUCAGCUUGUUGGUGGGGUAAUGGCCUACCAAGGCGGCGACGGGUAGCCGGCCUGAGAGGGUGGACGGCCACAUUGGGACUGAGAUACGGCCCAGACUCCUACGGGAGGCAGCAGUGGGGAAUAUUGCACAAUGGGCGCAAGCCUGAUGCAGCGACGCCGCGUGGGGGAUGACGGCCUUCGGGUUGUAAACUCCUUUCGCUAGGGACGAAGCUUUUUGUGACGGUACCUAGAUAAGAAGCACCGGCUAACUACGUG